GACGAACGCUGGCGGCGUGCUUAACACAUGCAAGUCGAACGGAAAGGCCCUGCUUUUGUGGGGUGCUCGAGUGGCGAACGGGUGAGUAACACGUGAGUAACCUGCCCUUGACUUUGGGAUAACUUCAGGAAACUGGGGCUAAUACCGGAUAGGAGCUCCUGCUGCAUGGUGGGGGUUGGAAAGUUUCGGCGGUUGGGGAUGGACUCGCGGCUUAUCAGCUUGUUGGUGGGGUAGUGGCUUACCAAGGCUUUGACGGGUAGCCGGCCUGAGAGGGUGACCGGCCACAUUGGGACUGAGAUACGGCCCAGACUCCUACGGGAGGCAGCAGUGGGGAAUAUUGCACAGUGGCCGGAAGCGUGAUGCAACAGCGCGGCGUGCGGGAUGACGGCUUUCGGGUGGUAAACCGCUUUCGCCUGUGACGAAGCGUGAGUGACGGUAAUGAGUAAAGAAGCACCGGCUAACUACGUG
Molecule: ribosomal RNA, 468 nt
Filed under: uncultured bacterium
Lineage: Bacteria
Description: partial 16S ribosomal RNA
Rfam family: Bacterial small subunit ribosomal RNA
Source: RNAcentral